This 65-nucleotide transfer RNA is filed under the name Dipodomys ordii (Ord's kangaroo rat). It matches the Rfam family "tRNA". Rfam says of the family: Transfer RNA (tRNA) molecules are approximately 80 nucleotides in length. Their secondary structure includes four short double-helical elements and three loops (D, anti-codon, and T loops). The record is from Rfam by way of RNAcentral. Lineage: Eukaryota; Metazoa; Chordata; Mammalia; Rodentia; Heteromyidae.
GGUGGCUCAGUGGUAGAGUGCUUGUCUUGCGUACAUGAGGCCCUGGGUUCAAUUCCUCAGCACCA